GACGAACGCUGGCGGCGUGCCUAAUACAUGCAAGUUGAGCGCUGAAGGUUGGUACUUGUACCGACUGGAUGAGCAGCGAACGGGUGAGUAACGCGUGGGGAAUCUGCCUUUGAGCGGGGGACAACAUUCGGAAACGAAUGCUAAUACCGCAUAAAAACUUUAAACACAAGUUUUAAGUUUGAAAGAUGCAAUUGCAUCACUCAAAGAUGAUCCCGCGUUGUAUUAGCUAGUUGGUGAGGUAAAGGCUCACCAAGGCGAUGAUACAUAGCCGACCUGAGAGGGUGAUCGGCCACAUUGGGACUGAGACACGGCCCAAACUCCUACGGGAGGCAGCAGUAGGGAAUCUUCGGCAAUGGACGAAAGUCUGACCGAGCAACGCCGCGUGAGUGAAGAAGGUUUUCGGAUCGUAAAACUCUGUUGGUAGAGAAGAACGUUGGUGAGAGUGGAAAGCUCAUCAAGUGACGGUAACUACCCAGAAAGGGACGGCUAACUACGUG
Molecule: ribosomal RNA, 497 nt
Filed under: uncultured bacterium
Lineage: Bacteria
Description: partial 16S ribosomal RNA
Rfam family: Bacterial small subunit ribosomal RNA
Source: RNAcentral